UACGUAGGGGGCAAGCGUUGUCCGGAAUUAUUGGGCGUAAAGAGCGCGUAGGCGGUCCGGUAAGUCGGUUGUGAAAGUCGGGGGCUCAACCCUCGGAUGCCGAUCGAUACUGUCGGGCUAGAGUCCGGAAGAGGCGAGUGGAAUUCCUGGUGUAGCGGUGAAAUGCGCAGAUAUCAGGAGGAACACCAAUGGCGAAGGCAGCUCGCUGGGACGGUACUGACGCUGAGGCGCGAAAGCCAGGGGAGCGAACGGG
This 253-nucleotide ribosomal RNA is filed under the name uncultured bacterium. RNAcentral's name for it is "partial 16S ribosomal RNA". It matches the Rfam family "Bacterial small subunit ribosomal RNA", at positions 524 to 776 of the family's 1533-position model. The record is from RNAcentral.